RNAcentral lists this unclassified non-coding RNA (247 nucleotides) under plant metagenome. RNAcentral describes it as "partial contains small subunit ribosomal RNA, internal transcribed spacer 1, and 5.8S ribosomal RNA". The stretch from base 1 to 54 matches the Rfam family "Eukaryotic small subunit ribosomal RNA", at positions 1778 to 1831 of the family's 1831-position model. The record is from RNAcentral.
UGAAGUAAAAGUCGUAACAAGGUCUCCGUUGGUGAACCAGCGGAGGGAUCAUUACAGGACUCGCAAGACUCCUACAACCCUGUGAACUUAACUAUAAGCACGUUGCUUCGGCGGGUGUCUCGGAGGGGGUUCUCCCUCCCCGAGACGCUAAACCCGCCGGCAGCCUACUAUACUCUGUCUCUUUGCGUUGGCAUCUCGAGUACAAUCAAACAAGUUAAAACUUUCAACAACGGAUCUCUUGGUUCUG